This is a long non-coding RNA of Suricata suricatta (meerkat), 495 nucleotides long. RefSeq lists it as uncharacterized. NCBI's taxonomy places the organism in Eukaryota, Metazoa, Chordata, Mammalia, Carnivora, Herpestidae. The record is from RefSeq and is a predicted model, not a curated record. The transcript has 3 exons.
CUUGAGGGGAAAAAAGCCUGAAUGUGAACAUCUUCUAGGUCCACCUAUCAAUUUACGGGAAGCACUGAAAACAAAGAGCCAUAUUAAACUACACCAGGGGAUUGCAAUACAUGGAACAAAUACUCCGUUUUUUUCAGCAGAUUUAUUACAAGGGAAAAAAUAAAGAGCUGGAGGGAGGAUCUGUACUUUAAUUGAAACCCAGAAGACAUCCACGUACAGAGAUUCAUGGACCUCAUUUCAACCUUGAUUUUUAAAAAAAGACUGGAAAAAACUUUUGAGAAAACUGGAAAUUUGGACAGUAACAAGUCAAGGAAUUAAGAAAUGGGAACAUUUGAAAACCACACUGAAGGUGAGGAAAUCUUGGCAGGCUCAACAACAUCAUUUUCCUUUGAGAAACAGCACCAGGGAUUGGAAAUCCCAAAUGACGUCUCAAGAUCAAAACACCCAUGAGAAAAUGAGCUCAUUUGCUCCUUCCUGCUUUCUGAAAGAAAAAAA